AACGAACGCUGGCGGCAGGCUUAACACAUGCAAGUCGAACGCCCCGCAAGGGGAGUGGCAGACGGGUGAGUAACGCGUGGGAACGUACCCUUUACUACGGAAUAGCUCCGGGAAACUGGAAUUAAUACCGUAUGUGCCCUUCGGGGGAAAGAUUUAUCGGUAAAGGAUCGGCCCGCGUUGGAUUAGCUAGUUGGUGGGGUAAAGGCCUACCAAGGCGACGAUCCAUAGCUGGUCUGAGAGGAUGAUCAGCCACAUUGGGACUGAGACACGGCCCAAACUCCUACGGGAGGCGGCAGUGGGGAAUAUUGGACAAUGGGCGCAAGCCUGAUCCAGCCAUGCCGCGUGAGUGAUGAAGGUCUUAGGAUUGUAAAGCUCUUUCACCGGGGAAGAUAAUGACGGUACCCGGAGAAGAAGCCCCGGCUAACUUCGUGCCAGCCGCCGCGGUAA
This 447-nucleotide ribosomal RNA is filed under the name uncultured bacterium. RNAcentral's name for it is "partial 16S ribosomal RNA". It matches the Rfam family "Bacterial small subunit ribosomal RNA", at positions 29 to 523 of the family's 1533-position model. The record is from RNAcentral.